UUCCCCGCUGCGCGGCAGGCAUGCGCGAGGGUCGGCUGUCGGCCGAUCAGGUCGGGGUGAUCGCCGCACACGCGGGCCAG
This 80-nucleotide transfer RNA is filed under the name Mycobacterium marseillense. RNAcentral's name for it is "tRNA-Asp". Lineage: Bacteria; Bacillati; Actinomycetota; Actinomycetes; Mycobacteriales; Mycobacteriaceae. The record is from RNAcentral.